GGGUAUGCUUCUGAAGAUCUCUUCUGCUAGGAAUCAUUGGCUAAAUUUGUUGAAAUAGGGACAUUCUCCCAGAUUACACUUUUCUUUUUCACCUCUCAAGGGUGCUUUUCAAUAAAAAAGUGUCCCCUAAAGAUGUAAGCCUAUAAGCUUGGCAGGACUUUUCAUAAGCAACUUUAAUAUUUUUAUUUUUCCUUGAAGAAGGCUUGGAAAAUUCAUUUCCAUUGCUGAGCUGUUGGGAGGUACUUAGUGCCUGCAAUAAAAAUCAUGUAACAAAUGGCUCCUCUGUCGUGGUUAACAGGCUCUGAUAGCAGAGAUGGUGUGAUUGGUGACAAAGAGCCCACGGCAAUUUUGAUUUUGCCAAAUAAAAAUAGACCAAAGAAAUGGAAUUCUGGAGGGUGCUGUUGAUGCCUGAAAGGAGCCAGGGGAAUGUUCAGGCUGUGCCAGUCUUUUCAUGUCACACAUGAGACUCUGAGAUUUCAAAAAAAUCUUUUGCCCAAGCUGGUGAGUGGCCAGAAGUAGACUUAGGGCUUCUUGCACACUUCCUUCUUCUUCUUCUUCUUCUUCUUCUUUUUUUUUUUUUAUUAGAGUAUAGUUAAUUUACAGUGUUGUGCCAAUUUCUGCUGUAUAGCAUAGUGACCCAGUCAUAUACAUAUAUACAUUCUUUUUCUCAUACUGUCUUCCAUCGUGGUCCAUCCCAAGAGACUGGACAUAGUUCCCUGUGCUGUACAGUAGGACCCCAUUGUUUAUCCAUUCUAAAUGUAAUAGGGAAACAUCUUUCUUUGCCUCCAAACUGCUCUAAACAUUUUUGUUUCUGAAACCUGUUUAAUAUUUAAAACAAGUUCAGAUAUCUUUGUGGUGGUCCCAGUUCUCCUGAACUCUUCACCAAAAUUGCUUGCCCUCUGCGCCAUAGAUGGUCCGCAGGUGAGGAGAUCACCAUCACCUUACACCUCACCUGGAUCCUGGACUUCAGGGAGACCACCUGGCCUGGUACUCGCCCACCCACCAUUUUUGAUCUCCCCUUUUGAGCAGUGGGAACAGUUUAAGGCUUGACUUAAACCAUAGCAUAUGAGCAAAUGUUAAAAAUUGAAAUCUGGGCUUUCGGCCAUGCAGAAUGGGGUGGGAGUUAUUAUUUUCUGCCAAUGAAUAUAAUGAAUAAAAUGAAUAUCCACUAUUUUUUUUUUUUUUUGGAUUGGGAGAAUGAGGCAGGAAAAUGUCUUACCAGGAAGCCCCUGCCUGAACUCUCCAAGUGUUUGUGUUGUCCUUGGCACUGCUGCAGUAUUGUCACUUUAGGGCACAAAGACCUGAUUAAAGAAAACCCCGCCGGAGUAAGUCCUGGUCCAUUAGUUUGUGUUCAUUUGCAUGUCCCUUGCUUUCUCAGAACAUGUACUUGACCUGGGAGCAUCUCUGUUACCAUGGAAUCCUGUUUCUUUAGCUGUUAGGCACCAACAUUUGAAUAGUUUCCCUUUCAAGGCAGAAAGUCUUUGUGCUCUACAAGCAUCUCUCUACAAAGCACUAGAACCGUGCAUUAUUGCUGCAUAAUUAUCCAACUGGUAGUAACGCUAGGGGUCUGUCCUGGAUGCAUUAUAUGGUAUAUUAUCAAGAGCAAGAAUUUUACUCUUUCGGCCUUGGAAGGGAUUUUCGAAAGCACGAGAGUAAACCGUUGCUCCAAGUAGUUAAACGUUUGCCCAGUCUCAUGCUGUGCAGUGGUGGCACAAUGGUGACUGAUGUUCCAGGCUGGACCUCCUAUUGAUCUUUAUCUUGUUAUUAAAUAAUUUUAACUUUUUUUGAUAGGAGAUAAAUCUUGAACAAUUUUCAAAAGAAAUUAGGAUUUUUCCAAACAAAUUCAUUUUGUGCUUAUUCAUUGUUUCUUUGGACUUGGAGGUGGUGUUAUGUUUUUGUGUAUGUGUGUUUCUGUGCAUGUGUAGGAAGGCAGUCCUUCUGACCUCUGUGCCAGUAUAGGCUGGCACUGGGAGAAGCUUGAAUCAGUUUAUAUAGAAAACCCUAAGGACUCAACCCAAAAGCUACUUGAAUUGAUCAAUAAAUUCAGCAAAGUAGCAGGAUAUAAGAUUAACAUUCAAAAAUCAGUCACAUUUUGGAGUUCCCGUCGUGGUUCAGUGGUUAACUAAUCCAGCUAGGAACCAUGAGGUUGCCAGUUCAAUCCCUGGCCUUGCUCAGUGGGUUAAGGAUCCAGCGUUGCUGUGAGCUGUGGUGUAGGUCGCAGACUCGGCUCGGAUCCCGAGUUGCUGUGGCCCUGGCAUAGGCUGGCGGCUACACCUCUGAUUCGACCCCUGGCCUGGUAACCUCUAUAUGCUGAGGGAGUGGCCCGAGAAAAGGCAAAAAGACAAAAAAAAAAAAAAAAA
RNAcentral lists this long non-coding RNA (2360 nucleotides) under Sus scrofa (pig). RNAcentral describes it as "lncRNA (ENSSSCG00060005674.1)". Lineage: Eukaryota; Metazoa; Chordata; Mammalia; Artiodactyla; Suidae. The record is from RNAcentral.